This 490-nucleotide ribosomal RNA is filed under the name uncultured bacterium. RNAcentral describes it as "partial 16S ribosomal RNA". It matches the Rfam family "Bacterial small subunit ribosomal RNA", at positions 28 to 507 of the family's 1533-position model. The record is from RNAcentral.
GAUGAACGCUCGCUACAGGCUUAACACAUGCAAGUCGCGGGGCAGCAUGGGGGUUGCUUGCAAUCCCCGAUGGCGACCGGCGCACGGGUGAGUAACGCGUAUCCAACCUGCCCUUCACCACGGGACAACCCGGCGAAAGUCGGACUAAUACCGUAUGUUGUCCAUUGACGGCAUCCGAUUUGGACGAAAGGUUUGGCGGUGAAGGAUGGGGAUGCGUCCGAUUAGCUGGACGGCGGGGUGACGGCCCACCGUGGCGACGAUCGGUAGGGGUUCUGAGAGGAAGGUCCCCCACACUGGAACUGAGACACGGUCCAGACUCCUACGGGAGGCAGCAGUGAGGAAUAUUGGGCAAUGGGCGUAAGCCUGAACCAGCCAAGUAGCGUGCAGGAUGACGGCCCUAUGGGUUGUAAACUGCUUUUAUGCGGGGAUAAAGUGGCCCACGUGUGGGUUUUUGCAGGUACCGCAUGAAUAAGGACCGGCUAAUUCCGUG